RNAcentral lists this ribosomal RNA (515 nucleotides) under uncultured bacterium. Its description in RNAcentral is "partial 16S ribosomal RNA". It matches the Rfam family "Bacterial small subunit ribosomal RNA", at positions 28 to 523 of the family's 1533-position model. The record is from RNAcentral.
GAUGAACGCUGGCGGCGUGCCUAAUACAUGCAAGUCGAGCGAAUGGAUUAAGAGCUUGCUCUUAUGAAGUUAGCGGCGGACGGGUGAGUAACACGUGGGUAACCUGCCCAUAAGACUGGGAUGACUCCGGGAAACCGGGGCUAAUACCGGAUAACAUUUUGAACCGCAUGGUUCGAAAUUGAAAGGCGGCUUGGGCUGUCACUUAUGGAUGGACCCGCGUCGCAUUAGCUAGUUGGUGAGGUAACGGCUCACCAAGGCAACGAUGCGUAGCCGACCUGAGAGGGUGAUCGGCCACACUGGGACUGGGACACGGCCCAGACUCCUACGGGAGGCAGCAGUAGGGAAUCUUCCGCAAUGGACGAAAGUCUGACGGAGCAACGCCGCGUGAGUGAUGAAGGCUUUCGGGUCGUAAAACUCUGUUGUUAGGGAAGAACAAGUGCUAGUUGAAUAAGCUGGCACCUUGACGGUACCUAACCAGAAAGCCACGGCUAACUACGUGCCAGCCGCCGCCGUAA